Molecule: long non-coding RNA, 22856 nt
Filed under: Coffea arabica (coffee)
Lineage: Eukaryota; Viridiplantae; Streptophyta; Magnoliopsida; Gentianales; Rubiaceae
Description: long non-coding RNA (CARA_LNC004397)
Source: RNAcentral
AAAACGAAAUGGAAGAGCCGUUGCGCCGACACAAUCCAUCCCAAUACCAGUACACUUUGUUUAACAAGAGAGAAUGUACAUGCCCAAAUAUAUGUCACAUAAACAUGAGGAAACACUUCAAAAUAUACAUAGUAGUAAGUUUACAAAUCAAAAGGAAACAUUGUAUUAAGAUACAUUUAGGGUUUCCAACUUCCACGGAGCUAUACAAAAGGGUGUUUAUACAAGCUCAAUUCAUUCUUCAAAAUGUCAUUGGUCCAAAAGAUGGUUCCCUGUAAGGAAAACAAGGAUAACGGGACGGGGUGAGCUAAAAGCUCAAUGAGGUACCAAAAGUAUAAAUGGUAGGAACAGUAGAACUCAUGAAAAAUCACUUUUAAGGCAAAUAUUCACAUCAAAUACAAGAGAUGAAAGAACACCACAAUGUAAAGGAUACAGGUGGCUCUCAGGAGCCAAAUCCCCGUUGCAAUACUUGAUCUAGUCUCGUUAACCCUCCGUCAACGUUCAAAUGAAGGAACCAGUCCCGUAGAGCACCACUUUAACGCCAAAAUCCCGUUCACCAAACAUACCCCUUACCGGGCCUGAACGCCAAACAGGAACAGGAAUGGUAAUACUCGAGUAUACCGGAAUCAAGAAUCUUAAUACCCAAAGAUUCCCCAGGAACAGGCACCUAUGGAUUGUCAAUUACCUCGACCAAACCCUUGCUGGCUCGAUUUAAUUAACUCCCCAUGAGGUUGAGCUCAAGUUAACAGGAAAAUCGUUGGACACACUUCCAAACGAUCUCAUAACAAGCGCAAGUAACAAGUUCAAGUUCAUAACAAGUACAUGUAAGAGAUUCCAGUUCAUUCAGUUCAGGCAAGAGAACGAGUGUGAUAAAGGACACCCUCAUCUCAUUCAGAAUAACAGAGUUCAUAGUUAUCCAUGUCACACAUUUCAAGUAUAGAUGUACCAAUCAAACAACAAUUCAGGGGAGUGGUACACUCACCUAUUAAGGCGAAAUAACGUCCAGAAUAUCUUUCCGGGUAACACUUUCAAUCACCGAUGAACCCUAAGGUUAAUCAAGAGAAAAUGUUACAGUUCCUCCAGCAAAAGUUAGGUGAAUCGAAAACAAUUCAAAUACUACUAGUAUUUUGGACAUGAUUUUGGAAGUGAAAAGAGUACAUUUAAACCAAAGGACAUGAGUAAAAUAUUUGAAAAACUCAUGCUCGCUCGUAAAACUUUGAAAUAUCCAUUUGAGUCGAAGAAAUGAAGAAAACGUAUUUCUAUUAGUCGUAAAUUUCAUUUUUUCAAGUGUACAAGUUUCGGCCAGAUUCGACCUUAUAUACCUCGAUAAAAGAGGACGCAAAUAUCCUAGAUGGUUUAUAUGGUAUUUGCUCUCAAAUCGUUACAUAAUCCUCGAGUGUAAAUUUGGGCAGCACGCCCUUUGUAUUUACCUAUUUUCCAGCCACUUAUGGCUUCAUUAUUUUCCUCAAUCAAUCCCAAAGUCAUACACAAUACAAAAUCAUUACAACAGCCGUUCAAUAGGCUCAAAGUCAUCCAAGUACAAGAUUUAGCUAGGAAAAUGACCGGAAAUAAGCUUUAAGCUAAGGAACCAAAAAGGCAGAUUCACCGCUACUUAGCGUAUCGGACAUAACCGAAACUACGCUUAUUGGAUUGAAGUGAAAGUUAUACCGUUUCGAAGCUAAGAUAGAGGGAUAUAACUUUGAUGAAGACCACUUAGUCCAGUUCUCAUCCUAACUAGGUCAAAGUUACCAAAACAACCCCAGAUUUUCCAGUUUGAAGCUCACUGUGAAAUUCAACUAGCAGUCCUGAUUCAUUCAAUCAUAUCUCAGCACACACAACUCCAAUUCAAGUAAUUCCAAAGCCAUUUGAAAGAUAAAAUACAAGGCUAUAAUUCUUAAGAAGACAUUGACAACCAAAUCAGUAGUAUUCCUAGUCAAACUAACCAAUUACAGAAGCUGAUUAUCAGUUUCGGACAGAAACAGGGCAGCAGGGGUAUUUCAGUCUUUUCACAGGUUACGUUACUCCGAUUGGGCUGAAAUGUUUUAGCCGACUAUAAAACAUCAUUCUCUACAAGUUUCAUGUUUUAUACUAAGGCCAAUUCGGCCUCUAACUAGGGGUAACAGUACCAGGCAGAAUAUGAGAAAUUGAAACCCUAACCUGGAAUUUUCCGCACAACAUGGAAAUUUUCCAUAUUUAGCUACAAUUUACGCACUAUAGCUUCAUUCUAGACUAUCCCAAGCCAUCAUCCAUGGCCACACAAUAUAAAACAUAUAAAAAUAGAAAAAUCAAGAAUAAAUAUAAAAUUCAUCAAAGCUUCACUUCCAACCAUAAACACACCAUAAAUCAUCUUAUUUAGCCACCAAUGCCACUAAUUUACCACUAUUAAGAACAAAGAGAGGAUUUCUUCACAACUCACCUUACAACUUAAGAAAAAUAGCAACUUAGCACUUCCUCUUGCCAAAUCACUCCACCAACUACUUCAAUACCACUUAGCAAAGGGAUUUUAUGGAGAGUUUUGGAGUAUAAACGGUUAAGUUGUGAGAUUGGGCAAGAUUAAGAAGAAGGAAGUUGGAGAUUUUUUUUUCUCUUUCUUUGCUCAAGAAGUUCGGCCAAGGGGAGGAAAAAAUGAAGAUGUUUUUAGUCAAUUCUUUUGGUUAAAUGGUAAAGUAAGAAAGUUGGUCAAACCAUCCUCAAGUCACAAGGUGACACUUGUCACCCCUUUUUGUUUGAGUUUAUCCUUUUGUCUUCCAAGGUUAAUCCCUCUAUGCAUCCUCUAAUUGGCUCAGAAUACCAUGUAAUAUAAUCUCUGUCUAUAUAACUUAACCUAAUUGGCCGCAUUUUAUCAAACUUACCGCACUAGUGAGUCCCACAACCGGUAUACGCUCUUAAUUUCUCAAAAUCUAAUUAAUACUAGAAAAUUAAUUUUAGAACUAUAUUUACUCAGAAAAAUUAUCUAGAAAAUUUUUCUAACAAAGAAAAUAUAGAAAAGGCAUGCAAUUAAAUAAAAUAAAGUCUAAAAAAUAAGAAAAUCCACGGGUUCUCACAAAUACCCUGCUAACCUUAUAAAACGUCGAACCUCAGUAGGGUUUUUCGGUCGUUUCCACUUUGAAACAGCUUCAACUUUGGCUAGAUACACUUUUAUCCCAUCCUUAGAAAUUAUGUGCCCCAAGAAUGUCACUUCUUUCAACCAAAACUCACACCUGCUAAACUUAGCAUACAAUUGGUGUUCCCUCAGAGUUUGCAAAAUAAUUCUCAAGUGCAUCUCGUGGUCCUCCACAUUCUUAGAGUACACCAAUAUGUCAUUAAUAAAUACCACUACAAAUUGGUUCAGAUAAGACUUAAAGACCCUGUGCAUCAAAUCCAUAAAAGCAGCAGGUGCGUAUUCGUUAACCCAAAUGGCAUUACGGAAAACUCAAAGUGUCCAUACCUCGAGUUAAAAGCAGUCAUGGGUAUAUCUUUCUCCAAAAUCCUCAAUUGAUAAUAACCCUGUCUCAAAUCUAACUUGGAGAAUACCACCGCCCCUUGCAAUUGGUCAAACAUUUCAUCAAUGUGGGGCAACGGGUACUUAUUCUUAAUGGUGACAUCAUUCAAGCCUCGAUAGUCUAUACACAACCUUAGACUCCCAUCUUUCUUUUUAACAAACAGGACUGGGGUUCCUCACGGUGAAUCACUCUCUUUUAUAAAACCCCAUUCCAACAAGUCCUGCAGUUGCAAUUUCAAUUCCUUCAGUUCGGCUGGAGCCAUCCGAUAUGGCAUCCUAGAGAUAGGUGCUACUCCCGGAGUCACAUCAAUCUUAAAAGCUAUUUCCCUUUCCAGGGGUAAGGACUCUAACUCUUCAGGAAAAACAUCCGGGAACUCUUUCACUACAAGCAUAUCCUCCAAUCUCACUUUAUCACUAGGAGUGUUGAUUAGAAAAGCCAAAUAUCCCUGAGCUCUCUUACUUAACAUUUUCCUAGCUCAGAUUCCUGAGAUAAUUGCAGAUGACGCUAAUCUACCCCUUACAUCCAAUUUCAGGGUUGCCUCUCCCAGAAUACAUAGUUCUACUAUCUUCGUCUUACAAUUCAACUGGGCAUUGUAACGGGCUAACCAGUCCAUUCUUAGGAUCACAUCAUACCCUUUAAUUGCUAAGCCUAUCAAAUCGGCCAGUAAUUUACGUUCUCCAACCCAGAUCUCACAAUUUCUAUAUGCCAAAUUAGCAAUUAGACUUUUGUCCCCAGUAGGCGUUCUAACCUCCAAGUCAUAAUGUAACUUAAUUGGGUUCAAGUCUAUUCCGCUCAUGAAAUUAGGGUUUACAAAAGAAUGUGUCGCACCCGGAUCAAUUAAAAUCUUAGCUAAACGAUGGAAGACAGGAACCGUACCUUCGACCACCUCAGCCGCAUCAGGUAUCUGUUGAUGAUCCAGUGCAUAAACCCUAGCAGGUACAUUUGGCCGGCUUCCUUCAGCACUGGUCUGUUUAGAGGUUGACUUUUCGGGUCUUUGGGUGCUACCUCCCACCUUCAGCUUAUUUGGACAAGUCGCGAGUUGGUGCUCGGUACUACCACAAGCCAAACACUUCCCAGACUUUCUCCAACAAUCAUUCUCAGAGUGAUUGGACUUACCACAGUACCCAUAAAUAACUGGAGGGGUCACUGCUGAACCAUUAGAAGGCACUCCCCUAACUUGAAGCGGCCCACUACGACCUCCUCUGGAUAAAGCUCCCCUAGAAGCUCUAGAAGUCCUUAUUCCUCCCAUUCCUCUUCUAAUUUUGGAAGGCUGUGAACUCUUACUAGUCUGUCUAGAAGUACGACUAGAAAAGUUCCUCUUCCUAUUAUGAAAGUCCUUAACUUGUAUUCUCGCACUUUCAACUCAUUGCGUUUUCUCUAAAUCCUCAGUAAAUGUAGAGAUUUGGGCUGCGGGCAAGCCCUCCUGGAUUUCCACAUUAAACCCUUGUACAAACCGCCUUAUCCUUUUCCGCACAUUGGUUACCAAUUCAGAGGCAUACUUAGAAAGCUUAGUAAAUAUUCCUUCAGACUCUGCCACACUAAGGGUUCCUUGUUUCAACUUGAUAAACUCAUCCUCCCUCUUUUCUUGGAUCAAGGGCGGAUGAAACUUUUCAUUAAACUCUCUCGUAAAAUUCUCCCAAGUCCAAGGGGUUUGAGUUCUCUCCCAUUUUCCCCUUAUCAUAUCCCACCAAGCACGUGCCACUCCCUCAAAUUGGAACGUAGCAAAAUUCACUCGCCUAUCCUCGGUAUAGUCUAAGGCAGCGAAUAUAUUAGUCAUCCUUUCCAACCAGUUCUCCGCUACCUCAGGAUCAGGUUCACCAAUAAACUUAGGCGGAUUAAACUUCAAGAACCUCUCUAAGGCUCUAUCCUCCCCUCUAUCCUGUCCCCCAGGUUGGUUAAGCUGUCCAGGACCUUGUCUAUCAGCCAAACGCUAUAGGAUAUCAGUCAUCCUAUUAAUGGUAGUAGCCACUUGAUUACCCUCAAUAUUUUCUUGUCCCUGGGUCGGCCCAGUUGCCGAUCCCUGGUCAUCCCCAUGAGGUUGGGCCUGUCUAGUUCCUCGCCCACGGCCUCGACCACUCCUUCGUCCUUCCAUUAUCCUAGGUAUGCCUAGUGCAAGAAAUGAAUCAAUUACGCGAGAAAAUACAAUUAGCAAGUCAUGGGAGAAAUCACAAAAAAAUAUAGCACACAGGUGCCACAAGAGUACUUUCAGUCAUGUAAGACUAAAGCAGAAUCAAGUGCCUCAAAAGUAAGCCACACAGUCAUGCAAAAUACAAUGGCCUCAGCACUCGCAUCACCCCAGCUAAUCCUAACUGUACCAUCGAAAGGGUCAAAAGGUCAAUCGCUCUAGACCUAGUCCACAGUAGGACUACCAAGGGGAAUCUUCUCCUCAGGAUCCUCCUCCGGAUCCUUCUCCUGAUCUGGGCUCUGGACAAUAUCCAUCACCCCAUCUAUCAUCUCAAUGGUAUCAGCCAGGAUCCCGAAAGCCCGAUCAUGGACCUCCUCACCUAACCUAGUGAGUCGAGUCCUAGUCCUCUGGAGCUCCUCACGAGUGAUCGCAGCAAUAGCCACCUCGCCCUCCAGAACCUCCUCAAGCUCCGCAAUCCUCUCUCCCUGAGCACUAACCAUCUGUCUCAGCUCGUCCACCUCCGCCUGUAAAUCUAAGUUGGCAUUCACCAACUGACGACGCUCGUCGUCCAAGGCUAGCACGAGGUGGUUCGGGUAGGAAAAAGUCAACCUACAUGAACAUCGAGGGUAUCUAUUAGAGGGUGAAUAAUGCACUCGAGCCCCUCCACCAAGAGCUCGAUAGUAAAUAGGCCUAGGAGGUUCUACAUGACCAUUAGCAUGGCCAUUUCCAUUAGCUGCCGGAGUUCCAUUUCCAUUUUUCAUCCCUGCAAAACAAUUACACUUUUCGGGUUAGAAAUUUAAUCACUAACUCGCACGAAUGUCACUUAAGGCAUGACUAACUUAGUCACUAACUUGCCCAAGUAUCACUUAAAGUAUGAUUUAGUCAUCCUAUCUCAAAUCUUAAGGGUAAGGUUUCUAGUAUAUAUCCCAAAUAGAUCGCUAGUCUAGCGCUCUGAUACCAACUGUGACGCCCCCACUUCUCCCUAAGGCGAACCAAAGGGUAUCCGCGGGACGCCUGCCCAACUCUCGUCAGGACUCGGUACAAAUCCCAUUCAAGCUUAAUAUAAUACUAGCUAUCAUGACAAGACAAGGUAAGGAAGAUAAGUUGCCUCUAUAAAUAACAUUUAAAUUUACACCACGAGUUCCGAAAUAUAUCAAUCAUCCAAUCCUUACAUCGGGUUCUCAAAAGAUACAUCGAUUCCCAAAACAUACAACAGCCAAGAUAUGUAAACAAUUACAUUGAAACCCUAACACAAAAGUACAUCCCAAGGGUUUCUUCGAGUCUUACUUCAUGCCCAAUCCUAUUAAGGAAAAUAAAUCUAUAGGGUGAGCAAUCGCUCGUGAGGUCAAGAACACACAAGCAAGCACGUCGUCCAAAUAACAAACCCACUGAAUAAGUAAAACAAUAACAUUCGAGUAAAUAACAACUCAGUGAAAUGUAACCAGAAACAAUUCAAGGAUAUGGUAGUUCUCAGGAGCUAAUUUCCAGUUGCUUUGCAAAUUUCAUUCGUAUAUCUUCUCGUGAUGACUCUCCGUCAACCGGGUCGAUAUUUCCAAUCCAUAGAAUUCCACUUACUUCUCAUGUCAGUCCACCUUACAACCCCUCACCGGGCCCGAACGACGAUAAAGGCGCUACUGCACGAGUAGGCCAAGCAAGAUCUCUUCAAUAGAUCAAGCUUAUCAUGUUAUUCUCAUGGCUCACCGAGGUCCCCGACCAAGCCCAUGCCGGCUCGAGUCCCAAGGUCGGCCUAUGAGUUUGGGCGUCCCCCAUGUAACAUUUGUGAGUCGAGGAGAUCCACUCCAACGAUGUAUGCAGCCAUAGCAUACAAUUUCAUUUCAUUGAAGCAUUCAAUCAUUUCAUUCCAUUCAAUCAAGUCAUUCAUAAUUCAUUCAUUUCAUUUCAAUUAUGAGUCAUUCAUUUCAAAUAAGAACGAGUGCGGUAAAGUACACACUCACCUCCAUUUUCAAAAUCUCCAAUCAAUUAUAACAAUUAAGCAUGUAUCAAGUAUUCAUACACUUGACACUCACCAAGUAAACAAAGGAGAAAUUGUCACUCGAAGAUUCAGGCGUCCACCGUGGGAUCCUCUUGAAGGUCCUCGUGAGUGCCUGAGCAAUUGAUAAUGAACUAUUACUUAUAAACCCCAAUUAUCACGGAAGAUUGCAUGCUUGUACAAUCUAGAAGAUAUCGCGAAGAUGAGCCUAGAUUUUCCUUGUAAAUCGAGGCUCAAAAGUGGGGUUCAAAACUCAAGUAAAAAUCUGAUUUUUAACCUUAAAAUCAUUGGACAGAAACAAGUAGGUAUGAAAUCAUGUAAAUUAUUUUCCAAACUAAUGACCGAAGUCGAACAGAAAAGGGACACGUCACAAUCCGGCCAAGAUCUGGCCGGAUUUGAGGCAGAGAGCAUCCCAAUUCUUUUAAUUUUCACCACCAAUCCGGCCAACUAUCCGGCCAAGAACUGGCCGGAUAUACCGCCAGAUUCUUUGAAAAUGGUUCCUGUACGAAAAUUUUUUAAAAGUCUAGGAAUUAUCGAAUUUAGGGGCCUUCUUGGAAAAAUCAUAACUCACUCUCUAAAAGUCCAAAAUUGGAAAAUUUGGUACCGUUCGAAACACUUCCAAAGUACUAAAAGUUCCUAGAAGAUACCUUUCCAUGAUUCCAAAUGGAAGAUAUUCAAAAUUUGGCUCAAAGUGGCUGUUUUGGAAAGCCAAGACAGAUUUGGGUUGAUUUUCGGCAAAGUUUGGAAAUUCUGCAAAAUUCACACAAUGCGAACUAGCAUCUGAAAUUUGGAACCCAAUUAGAGUUACAAUCAAAAUUUUCAACACAAAAAGCAGAACAAGAAUUGGAGUUUUGAGCACCAAGAUAUAGUAGCUCAAAUUCACUGAAAUUUCCUCCUCAAACAGAGGUUUUCAAGGUUUAAAGCUUGAGCUUUGGUACUUUAGUUGAACAUCCAAAUGAACUUGGAAUGGCACCAAAGUUAGCAGUAUUACACUAUUAUCUAAGGGCUAUUCCUCUGUAAAUUUGCCAUGCAAAAACUCGCACGGGAAGUCAGUUAACCAAGUCAUUAAAACUCCAAGAAUUUCCAAGGCAAAACUGUCUUGUACUUUAGUUUUCCUUUUCUCAAACAUUUGGCCAAUGAAAAUUCCUAUAACACGAUUCAUUUAGGAGGAAAAAGUCCAGGAAACAUCCAAAAUACGUUUUAUAGGUGAUUAACACCAAGGAUUUCAAAUAACAAGUCCCAAAUCAAGAUUAGCUAAAAGUCAGUCUAGAAUUAGGGUUUUCUUUCACAAAGUCAGUUCUGAAAUUCGGCCACUUCUCACUCAAUUCAACUCGGAAUUGAGCAUUGUUGGUGGCGUUGAAAACUAAAUUCAUAAAGCUACAACUUCUUAGAAGGAAUCAUUUUAAAAUUCUAUCCAAAACUAGCUCACAUUUGAGCAUCAAGUCGCAGUUCAAAACAGAGCUACCAGUAUAGACGCGAAAUAGAACAGGCAACUUUACAAGGUUAGUACGGAUCACUCAGGUGGAAUCAAGGCAUGCAUUUUAUACCAUUAGAAAGCUGGAAAUGUCUAGUUUCUAGUGCCGCAAACGGCACUCGAUUUGGACGUCGGAGCAAAAAGUUAUGGCCGAAACAAAAACACUGCCAGAGCAAUACGGGACACAAUUCCAGUUUUGGUAAAUUUUCGAAAUCUCAACAUUCACUCAUCCAAAUCACGUAAAUUUUUUAGGAACUUUAUACACAACCUUUAUUACAUAUUUACAUCAAAAAAAGUCAAUUGGACCAAAAAAAAAAUGCACUAAGGGUCACGGCAAUGGCAAGGGCAGAAUUGGUAAAAUUUUCCUCUUCAUUUCCUUUGAACUUUCUUCAACAAUACCACUCAUUUCCACUAGAUUAAACACUAAUCCAACAUAAAUAGCAUCAAAUCUCAUCAAAUUAGUCCAUCAAGCUAUAGUGGGAUUUCAUAGAGCCCACACACAAAAUUUCCAACAAUAUAAAGCUACCCAUAUGAAUUUAUAAGCUCACAAGUGCAAGAUAACUUCCAUAAACUAAGAUUUUAGAGGUUGAUCGUUCAUUACCUCUUUGGAUGAGCAAGGCAGAAAAUUUCGGUCCCUUGGAGCUAAAGAAAAAUUGUGAGAUGAAGCUCUUUUCCUAGAUUGAGGUGAUCUCCAAGUGGUUAGCAAAGUGUAUGUAAAUUUUGAGGUGAUUUGGUAAAGAUUUAGUGAUGAAAUGAAGAAGAACUUGAUGAAGAAAUUUGGUUCUUUUCUCCCUUGGAUGGCCGGCCAGCUUAGAGCAAGAGAGAGAGAGUGUUUGAUGAAAAAUGAAGCUUCCUUGAGAAGCUAAAAUGUGUGGCUAAGAAUGCCUCAAAUAUCAACUCUCACCCCGCGCGCACACACGCGCGUUUCGUGCUUGAUUCCUUUCGAGUUUAUUUCACUUGUGCACUAAACCUCUAAUGCAUUUCCAUUCAUACUAUUAUUAUUCACUCUUAAUGGUCUAAAAAUAAGAGUCUAAAGUUCCUCAAUUAAUCACGCGCGCGAAAACGCGUACUUCCGAUUUGUGCGCGAUAAAGUGGAAUUUUCAAGAAAUUCUUAUAACGAUAGUAUCACUAACUAAUAAUUGAACACUUAAACAUAAAAAUACAUAUUUCAAGACUAAUGUACAAGUCUCCAAUUUUCCAAGCUUAUUGUAUUCUCGAAUCGAUUAUUGUCUCCAAACGCGUAUCCACUAUUCUCACUUAACGAGUUUUCAAAAAUUUAAAUUUUGAAACGAGUCAUUUUAAAAAUAUAAGCAAGCCAUAAUUUCAUGAAAUUGGGUCUAAAAGGGUCAAAAUAAAAUAUUCGGAACAAACAGGCAAUUAAAUAUUUAAAUAAACUAGUAAUAGGAAUUUAAAAUAAGUAAAUUUGCGAACCAUGAGGAAAAAAAAUAAGCUUGACCUAUUGAGAAGUCUUGCUUGGCAUACUCGAACAGUAUCGCCUCAAACAAACGACAGGCGGGCCCGGUACAGGGGUAUGUAAUGGUGAACGGGGACAGGACAAGUGAAGUUCUACGGACUAUAGCCUACCCGAUUGACGGAGUUUCAAUUCGUGGAGGUUCUUGAUCGUGCAAGUGGAAAAUAACUCCUGAGAGCUCCUAUAUCCUUGAAUUGUUUCUGUUUACUUUUCUAGCUCGAAUUGUUAUUUACUUGAAUGUCAUUGUUUUACUCGUCAAUUGUGAUUGUUAUUUGAACAACGUGCUUGCAUGUGUGUUUUCUCGGCCUCACGAGUAAUUGCUCACCCCGUAGAUUUGUUUUCCUUAACAGGAAUGGACGUGGAGCAAAAUUCAGAGAAACCCUCGAGAUGUACUUUUGUAUUAGGGUUUUAAAUGUAAUUGACUAGACAUUUUGACUGUUGUAUAUUUUCGGAAUUGAUAUAUCUUUUGUUAACCUAAUGUAAGACUUGGAUAGUCGAUUAUGGAAACGACUUUUCUUUAUUAGGCUUGUAGUAAUUGUUAUGUAUCGUUAAACUUGAAUCGAAUUGUCUUGAGUCCUGGCGAGAGUUGGGCAGGCGUCCCACGGAUACCCUUUGGUUCGCCUUAGGGAGAAGUGGGGGCGUCAUAGCAAGGGGCCAGCAACUGAAGACAGUGAUGAUGAUAAGGAAACUGCAGAAGAAGAAGUGGAUCCUGCUCAGUUUCGCCUAGCAAGGAGGAGACCUGGAUCAUCCAAGAUUACUAUUUAGGCACCUUUAGGUACUUGCACUUUAUUUUAGGAUAGCAUCUCAUAGUAGACAUUUGCAUCUUUUGUAUUUUGACAAUUCAAGUACUCUGUACUUAGUAUUCUGGUUAUUUGGUUAAACUCUGGUUUGUAGUUUAUUUGGUUCACUUUUAUAUCUUGAUGGUUUCUGGUUACUUUUAUUGGUCAAAUCUCAUUUGGUUAAUUUUGUUUGUUUUUGGGCUAAUGAGUGCGGAGUGAUUGAUAUAUCUGUGAGAUUGCUGAUUUCUGAUUGCUGAUAUUUGAGAUUGCUAAUUCCUUAUGCCUGAUUUCUGAUUGGUUAACUCUCUGAUUUUGGUAUGUUGGUUGUUGUAUUGAUGAUGCUAGUUGUUAUUGAUGACAUUGAUGUUGAUCUUCUGGUAUGAUGUGGUGUAUUAAAUUGGAUAUUGGACUUGAUUUCUGAUAUUGGAUUACUGCCAUUAGUUGUUAAAAUCAUCUAAUGAUGACAAAAAGGGGGAGAAAUAGAUGCUAAGACACCAAGGAAGUAUAAUCUGAGGGGUGAGCUGUCUUGAGGGGGAGUGCGUACUUACAAACUUUUUGAUGCAUCAUGUGAGGGGGAGUUUUGACUCAACUAUUUUCUUUCCUCCAUCCAUUAUUUUGUCAUCAUAAAAAAGAGGGAGAUUGUAAAUCUUAGUCCCUAGUUUUUUAUGUUUACAAAACAAAUGGAUGUUACUAAUCUCUCCUCAAAGAUCUUUUCAGCAAUGAAGCAAAACAGGUUCAAUGAUUUAAUACAAGAAAAAAGGCAAAGAGUGAUGAAAGCUGUCGGACGCUCAUAAAGACUGGAUCGGACGUCCGAUAUUCAUUGCGCAACUUCGGACACAUGAAGUACUCCACCACCGGACGUCGGAAGAUAUUAGAUCAUUUCUUUUAAGCUCACUAACUUCGAUCAGACACACAACAUUAGAGCACCGGACGUCCGACAAACAUUGCGACACUUCGGACGCAAAACAUUGGAGGUACCGGACGUCCGAAAGGAUUGAAGAAGAAUUCUCAGUUUCACUAUCUACCUUCGAACGCAUACAUUGAAGGUACCGGACGUCCGAAAGAAUUGAAGAAAACUUCUUGAGCUCACUGCCUGCUGUCGGACGCAAGAAACAGGUCUACCGGACGUCCGACACUACCAACGGCUAGUUGACUCUUCAGCUACCUUCUAUCCGUUGGAAGCAUUAAUGGAUGAACUUUUUGGUCUCAUAUAAAUAGAGCAUGGUCAACCACUUUCAUACCACUUUUGCACAUUGAUAUUACAAAAGAUCUAGAGUGAUUUUAGUUAGAAAAUACUCUUCAAAUAAGAUUUGUACUCUUGUUUGUGUGAAUUUUGUGUAAGCUCUUUUUGUGUAUGAAAAAUACUUCAAUAGUGUAGUUUUGUGAGGGUCAUCCGAGUGAUAGUAAAACUUCCUAACUUGACCAAGUGUAGCUUGGGACAAGGAGGAAGUGAUCCUUCCUUUGUACACAUAGAUUGGUUGUUUUUAACCAACUUGAAGAGGUUUGUUCUAUAAAGUGAUACUCAAGCUCAAGAGGAGCUUGGAAAUACUUGGUUUGCCAUUCUUUAUCUUUUACUUACUAUCUUGCAAACAUAAACUGAUUAUCUCUUCUACUCCUGAGCAAUCUUGCUUUCUUAAUCAUUUAUUCAUUGUAUGAUCAUCUAGAAAAGAUGAUAAAUUUCAUAUUGAGUCAAAAGUGUCUCAUAACUUGAUUAGUUUUUAAAUAACCUAAUUCACCCCCCUCUUAGGUUGUCUUCAAUCCUUACAAUGUCCCUAGAAAAUGCAGAAAAAAGAAUCACCCCAAACGGAUCUAUAACGAAGGAGAAAAAUGAAUUUGAACAAGGCUAGUCGACCAGCCUGUUCCCAGUUUUCUGUAGAAAAAAUUUUUCUUUCUUUUUCUUGCUUUUUCUCGCUCCCUACCCUAGACCUUGUGCAGCCAUUUUUUUCUAACUUGUUCACUCUCUCUCUUAAAACCUAAAAGCCAUGUUUGUUACGCAUUUAUAUGAAAUGAAAACCCUAAAACUAGCAAUGAAGGAUUGGGAUGAAAAAAUCGUGUGUCUCCUUCCCUCCCUUUGAUCAAUUGUAGUUAGGUGCUAAAAGAUAAGAUUUGGGAGAUGAUGAGCUAUAUUUGUACUAACAAGCUUGGGGAGAAAGAAAGAGAAAAGAAAGAAAAAAAACCUAGCCAUCAAGUUGCUUCGUACUGGUUUGUUGCUGCAAAAUUGGAGAAGAAAAGAGUUUUUUUUUGCUGCAAAAAUUGAAGAGCAUUUUUUUUCAAGAAAAAAGUUGGGCCAAUGGGCCUCUUCUAUUUCCUUUCUUUCCUGACUUUGGAUGGGCUUCGGGUAGGCUUUUUGUUGUGUUUUUGCUUGGGUUUUUGUUUGGUUUUCUGGUAGGUUUUGUGGUUGGGUUUGGGUUUUCUUUUAUUGAGAUUGCAACACAAGAAAAAUAUCUACCAAAUUCUCCAAUUUUGAACAUCCAUUUUUCUUUCUUUUUGUACAAACCUACAAAACAAAAAUAAAAAUAAUUACUUUAAGCAAUUUAUAAGUGAAAAAUAAAAAUAGUAGACUCGAAAUUAAGAAAAAUUUGGUGUCUACAUUUUCUAAAUCCAAAAUUCUCAACUUACAUAUAAAUUACAUAUUAACCUAUUCAUUCUUCUAGAUUGGCCUAUUCAGAGCAACAAGUAACAUCAUAGUAAGUUUUCUUAUUUGUUAUAGAUUUUAUUAGUUAGUAUGAUCUAUUAUGGUUAGUCAUCCCAAGUUUGAUAUUUCUUUUUAAUAGAGUAGUUUGUCAAACUAUCAUCUCUUAUUCACUUGCUUAAAUUAUCCAUAUUGGAAAAAUGUUAUAAAAAUCAACACCGGAUUUGUUAGGUAUGACUAACAGUUAAAAAUAAUUAUGUUCUCAGUAAAACCAAUAAUAAAAGUGCACCUAUUCCUAAAGAGUCACAUGGAGAUAAUAAUGAGGAUGAAAAGUUGAUUACUAAAAGUAUGAUUAUUUUGAAUUUAUUACACUAUCCUUACUGAAGAUUGAGUGAUCAAUUUCUCAAUAUAUAUCUACUGGGGACUUAUGGAGAACACUCGAUGCAACACAUGAUGGGAUAAGUAAUAUGAAAACCUAUAAAAGGGUUAUACUAAUAUAUGAUAGUAUGAGAACUUCACGAAGUCAAAUGGAAGCAUCAUGAAGAUGACAAAGAGAUUCACGGGCAUAAUUAACCCCUUGACAAUUUAGGCAAAACAUAAUAUCCACGAAUUGAACUCACUAAAAAAGUGUUGUGUGCACUACCUAGAUUAUUUCAAUUCAAAAGGCCAAAAUUCUCAGUACAGUGCCAUUAGAAGAACUUGUUAGUUCUUUGAUAAUUGAAAAGAUCAAAUUCUAAAAAAAAAAGUAGAAAAAGGAGAAGACCAACAAGAAUGAAUGGUUGCUCAUUUUCAAUAAUCUACAUAUGAUGAUGAGCUCGAUGUCAAUAUUAAUGAGGGUGAGGAACUUGCUAUGAUCACUCAUAAAGUUAAAUUCCUAUCGAAGAAAUCAAGAAAGAAUUUCUAAGGAGAUCAAAAGAAGAAAUCCAAUAGGAAGGCUGAGUCUUCAGAUCCUACAUUGACUUCUACUCAUGUGUGUUUUUAUUACAAAAUGUCUAGGCAUGUUCAAAUAGAUAACUACUAGUAGAAGAGAUUGAAUAAGGUUAAAACUAAGAACAAAAGGAGAAGGCCAACAAGAAUAAAUGGUUGCUAGUAUUUAAUGACCUACAUAUGAUGGUAAGUCUGAUAUUAAUACCAAUAAGGAUGAGGAACUUGCUAUAAUCACUCAUAGAGUUAAAUUUCUAUAGAAAAAAUCAAGAAAGAACUUUUGAGAAGAUCAAAAGAAGAAAUUCAAUAGGAAGGGUGAGUCUUCAAAUCCUGAAUCAACUUCUACUCAUGUGUGUUUCUAUUAUAAAACAUCUAGGCAUGUUUAGGUAGAUUGCUACUAGUAGAAGAGAUUGAAUAAGGUUAAGACUGAGAACAAAAGAAGAAAAAAAGAAGAUAAAGGAGAAGACUAACAAGAAUAAAUGGUUGCAAGUAUUCAAUAAUCUACAUAUGAUGAUGAGUCUAAUGUCAACACUAAUGAGGAUGAGGAAUUUGCUAUGAUCACUCAUAGAGUUAAAUUCCUCUAGAAGAAAUCAAGAGAGAACUUUUGAGGAGAUCAAAAGAAGAAAUCUAAUAGGAAGGGUAAAUCUUUAGCUACAUCGACUUUUACGCAUUUGUGUUUCCAUUAUAAAAUAUCUAGACAUCUCAGAGAGAUUGCUACUAGUAGAAGAGAUUGAACAAGGUUAAGAUUGAGAACAAUAAGAGGCAAAGUAGAAGAGGACUAGUAUCUACUCAUGAAGCACAAUCAAAAAAUAAAGAAACUUAUAAGCUAGCCAACCCAUAUCUCACAGCCAUAACAAAUACUUCAGGAGUUCAUUCCAAUUUGAAAACUCAACCUAAAGGAACGAGUCAUUUGGUUAAGAAAAGUCAAAAUGUUAUCUUCUUAUGUUGAUGGCUAUUUAGACAAAGAAUCAAAAAAUGAUUAAGUAUGCAUUGUUGGUUUGAAAGAAGAGGUAAAUUCAUCUUCUAAAUGCAGUCAUAAUAAACAACUCUCUUAUAAUGAAUCAAUUGGCAUAAAAACAGGGCUUUAACUACUAAAAAUGAGAAUUUAAAGAAAGAAAAUGAACAUAUGUGCUUAUGUAUGAUAAGCUGAAAUAGAAGCAUAAUAACUUGUUGAUUAAUCCUUGAUGCGUUAAAAACUAAAGGUUGAACCAAAUGUUUGUUUUGAUAAACAAGCUGAUUGUGUGAAUGCUAGUAGUUGUGGAAAUAUUUUUCAAAAGAGAAAAUAAAAUCUAUUUUGAAAAAAAUCAAUUUCCUAAACAAAGAGAAAAUAAAUUUUAUAAAAGAAAGCAAAGUCCAAUUUCUAAACUUAGAACAACCUAUCGAUGUCUAUUAUCAUAGAUUUAACCACUUGUAUAAAUUUUGUUAUGAUUUUUUUUAUACAAAAGAUAUAUGCUUACAUGUUCUUUUUGUGACACAGUUGGACAUGAUCAUUACUUUGUUAGAAGAAAAUCAGAAAAGAAAGUGAUUGAAAUAUGAAAAAUGAGGUUGUUUGGAUUGCAAACUUCCAAGAGUUUUUGGGCAAAAAUUUUUGUAACACAUUUUAAGAUGUAAUAUAUGUGAGGUAAAAGGUGGCUGAAAAAUGGAUAAAAGGAAUAUUCACGAAAAACAUUAAAAUUUUUCCAAAAAAGAGUGAUCCAAACAUGGCCAAUGCACUAGAAAUUUUAUAUUUAAACAAAAGAAGACCAGAGCAUUUUUGCUUAAUUUGUUUUGCAGAUUGCCCUUGUUAAUACGGUGUUUGAAGGCAAGUGGUUAGUUGAUAAUGGAUGUUUUCACCACAUAACUAGAAAUAAGAAUUUAUUCAUUAGUUCUUUUUUUUUUAAGAAGAAAUAUGGAAUAGUCACAAUUGGUGACAAUAGGGCACGUUUGGUUAUUGGUAAUGGAGUCAUUGAUAAUGACUCUCAUAGAAUUAAAGAUGUUUAUUUUUUCAAAAAUUUCUCUUUUAACUUACUAGGUGUCAGUCAAUUAUGUGUUAUUGGUUAUGAUGUUAAGUUUGAUAAAAUUAGAUGCAUUGUUGAGAAUAAGGUAACAAAAGGGAUUAUCCUAAUUGCUAACACAUUUGAGAAUGUAUAUCUUGCUAACUUGAAUGAUGAAAGUUCUCAGUAUGCUAGUUGCAUAUUUACUUUUCAUAAUCAAGUUAUUUUGUGUCAUAGACAUUUUGGACAUGCAACUUUAGAUUUUAUUUCUAGAUUGUCUAAAAGUGAUCUUGUUACUAAUUUGCCUCAAAUUAGCUUUCAAAAAGAAAAAUUAUAUGAUGCUUACCAACUAAGUAAACAAAUUAAAAGUUCUUUCAAAAAUAUUUCUAAUGUUACUACUGAUAGAUGUUUGUAAUUGAUUCAUAUGGAUUUUUUUGGACCUAUGUGACAUGAUACACUAAGUGAAACUUAUAUGUCUUUGUUUUAAUAUAUGAUUUGCAAGAUAUACAUAGACCAUCCUACUUGCAAAAAGAAUAAUGCUUUUAAUGAGUUUGCUACUAGGUGCAAGAAAGUUAAAAAAAAUGAAAAGGCUACUGUAUUGUUUCCUUAAGAAUUGAUUGAGAAAGAGAAUAUGACAAUGCGCUUUUUGAAGAGUGUUGCAAUGAGAAUAGAAGUUCCCACAAAUUUUCAUCAAAUCUAGAUAGUAUAUGAAAACAUCGCACUCACCAGCAAACAGAGGAAGCAAGCAGCAGCAAAAAUCUAGAAUAGUAUAUGAAAACAAAAGAAAACAAAGGAAACAAAAGAAAGAGGAUCACCAUACCUUUGUCGCAUAUGUCCAGUGGAUAAACGGGAAUUGCAGCCACAUCUGUACAAGAAAGCAGAGGGAAAAAAGAGUUGUCGAACUCAUAAAGAGAGAAACCAAAAUUCCGGUUUAGUGGAAGAGUGGUGGCAACAUUUAUUGACAAACACACCCAUACCCUUGGCCUUAUAGGUGCACACACAGUUAAAAAUCUAGUGAAUAUAAAAAGGAGGGGUAUUGUAGUCUUUUUGGAAUAAACUAAUCCUAACACCGCUACUGGGAUUCAAUUUAACUGACGAACCAUCAUUGUUGCCAUACAAAUAAAUAGGUCGGUGAUAUCCUCUUCCUUGCAUGAAUGAGAGGGAAAAAGUAUUUGUUGCUUUUAGCCAAGAAAAUAUCAGAAAAAAAUGGCAGAAAAACGAAAGAUAUCAACCAUUGCAAACUGCAGGAGGAAAAGGAGGGAAAUGAAAAAGAAGACAAUGGGUGUGAGCACCCAAAAUUUUCAUACCUUUCAUUUUGACUUACUUGCUUGUAUAUAUAGUGAAUGAUGACGGACAGUUGUACCUUAUUGCUUCUUUUAAUUGAUUGCCUAAAGUUUUGUGGCACGAGAUAUUUAUGGCAAGAAAGAGAUUUUAAUACAAGAGACUUCAAACCCUAGCUUUGACAAAGAAAAAAAGGUUUUGCUCAUUUUUGCUCACUUUUAGAUGUUUGCAAGUUGUGUUGUGAUCCGAUAGUUAGUUAUAUAUUUUCUUUGAUUUCAUUUACUUGCCUUGAAUUCUUGGUUGUUUUAUUAGUUGAAUCAUGAUUUUGACUUAUUUUCUUAUUUUACUUGGUGCAUGUUUCAUUUGAUACAUGUUAUGUUUCAUAGUGCAUAAUACUAGUGUGAUCGAUUAGUGAGGUGUGUGCAAUAAAUUUGGAGGAUUAGAAGGAGUUUUGUGCAAAAGGAAUUAUGUGACAAAAGGUGUUAAGAGAUGAUUGGAGGAGUAAUAGAUAUUUGAGUGCUUAAGAGAGACAAUUAAAUAGACUUCACUUGGAUUUGUGCCACUUGUCAAACACCAAGCCAAUCUUGACCAAGACCUUAACCAAGAUUAAGCUUAAAAUUUAUCCAACUCAAGUCAAUCACCAUUUUCUUCCUUUGCCUUCCAUGAUGGACGAAAUUUGAGAGGAGAAGAAGAGAAAAAUACUCCAUUUUCAGCCUUGAUCUCUUGCUUGAAUCAUGGAAGAAAAACCAAGAUCAACCUCAAUCCACUCCAAUCAACCUUGAGAUAAGCUUGAGGGGAAGCUUUUGGAGAAGUUUUGGAGGAAGAAACCCUUGAGUACUUCUUGCUUGGCUGUCCAUCUAAGUUUUGGAGGUAAAGAGGAGAACUUUGCUAGAAAUCCUCCCUUAUCUUUGAGUUUCUAUGAUAUAUGAUGUUAUAGAACCUAAAGGAAGGAUUUGUAUGGUGGAUUUCAUGAUUUUCAUAUUGUGUUGUGAUUUUCCAGCGUUGUUUUGUGGGACUUAAGAGGUCAACUUGAUUGCCACCUUAUCUUUUCCACUUGUAUUUAUAUCUACUUGAUGGAUGAUACUUUAUAAGGUAAAAGGCAUGACUUUUAUGAUAGCUAUCAUGGUAUUGUUAGGUUUGGUGAAAUUUCUAGCCUUGAUGUAGUUACUUGAAGCUCUAUAUAUACAUGGAGUUGUGAUGGUUAAAUGUUAUGUAUAUGCUUGAUUUAGUGAGUUGGUAGCCUGGUAUGUAUAUGCUUGAUUUGAGGAUGUUUUAUGGUGAGAAUGAAGCCUUGAAAAUGGCUGGAAAUUAGGGAAAAUAAGGGGAAGUGCUGCUGAAAAUUUUUCCCACAGGAGACUUUGAGCAGUUUUGGGAAAUCUGUUAUAUCUUGGUGUAGAAAAUCUGAAUUGAGUUCCGUUUGUUGCAUUUGAAACUAGACUCAUAGAUCUUUUUACCGUCUAAAAUUCAUAGGUUGGUUCACUUUCUAUAAAUACCAGCAAAAUUUCAAAGUGGGCUGAAAAUCCAAGACUGUCCUGUUUUUGCACUUAGUUGAGCAGUGAAUUGAGGCUAAGAUUUGACUAAUUUAUGGGCUGAAUUUUAGAACAUGUCUUCUAGAGAGUUGUAGUCUUCUGAGUCUAUUUUCUAACGAUAUAAGAUUUAUGAUUUUUAGACUUACAAAACUCAAGUUAUAACUUUUCAAAGAGCGUUACAAAAGCUGGAAUUUUUCUUAUGAAAUGACAAAAAACUUGGAAGGGUCUUGGAAACAUUUUCUGGUUUUUAAACCUAACUUUCUCGAUUACUUGCACUCCAUUUCACACUUGGAUCAUGUAUUUAUUAUGUUUAUAUGCUAUAGAUAAGUCUAGAUUAGUUGGUUUUGUAGCCGAGUGUAAGAACCCAUUUUCCUUAUGAGUUAUGGAGUUGAUUUGGGCUGUUUUGCCAUAAAGCUUAGCUUGAAAAAUUGGAGGAAAAAUUGAAGGAAAAACAGGGAAAUUGUUGUCCAUUUCAUUUCUUGAAGGAUAAGUGAGUAAAAGUGGACAUGGAGGUGUGCUUUGUAAUCGAUUUGGACUUCACUUGUUUAGGAAUGUUUGAGUUAACCUUGGAGGUGAUAUGUAAGUUGAAAUUUUGCCAAAAUUAUAUAUUUUGCAAGGUGAAAGUAAUGACCAUUUUAAAACAUGAUUUUUAGUCGCGUAUGUCACGUUUUAAACUUAAAAGUUCCAAUCGUUUUCUUUCCAAAACAAAAGCAAGUGUGCAUGUAUUUUACUUAGGGUCACUAAGCUUAUGAAGUCUAUGUAUAUAAGUUCUAUUCACAUGAUUUCCUUGUGAUAUUCACAAGUGAGGGUUGGAUAUUUGGAAACCCAACUUGAUUGUAUUCUGUUAUUCAAUAUUUGAUCGCAGAUUUAGAAUCCGGCCAAGGAGCUAGGCCUCAACCUGAUUUUGCUAAACACUAAUCGUUGGUGAGUGUUCCUUGCAUGUGUAUGAUUAAAAUGACUACGUGAAAUGUUGUGAAUGUUGCCGGAAUGUUAAUGCUUUCCAAUGAUUGCUAAAUGGAUUUUCAAUGGACGAGUGUUUACCUUCUCGCACUCGACCCAAGCAAAAGUAAAUUUUCAAUAAUUGAAUGCUACUUGUGCAUAAAUGUAAGCUUUUUGGCUGAACUGGGCCCUUGCCCUUCUUUGCCAAUCGACUCGAGCCAGAAGCGGACUUGGUCGGGCAGCUGGUGACCCUGGGACAAUGUUUGGUAUACUCGAGUAUUACCACAAAGUCUGGUGGAGAACUGGCCAGUGAAUUCAAUGCAAUGAAAUCAAUGAAUGAAUAACAAGAACACUGAAGGAGUUUUCACUUGCAAAUGUUUUCUAAUGUCAGAGGGAUAAGGAAAAUGGUUGGUGAAUGAAUGAAUAAAUGGCUUGAAUAAAUGGCUCCAAGUGAGCACGUAUCUUUUCAAUAAAUGAAUGAUUGAUUUUUUAAUGACUGCCUAUUACUGUGUCAAAUGUGCAAAGUGCUAAGUGUAAAUGUUCCCAUAUUUACCUGCUUGUUUGCUUGUUUGGGAACCUCACUGAGCUUUUAGCUCAUCUCAUUAGUUUGUUUUCCUUACAGGGGUGGAGGCUGGAGCAAGUAACCGUGAACUAGUGUAUAUAAUCUCUUGUACUUGUACUUUUGCAGAUGUGAUGUAUUUAGAACCUUUAGAAUGUAAUCCUAUGUUUUACUUUUGAAUUGUAAAUUAAGUUUGAAUUGUUGGUUGGAAAUGGAACUUUUAUGUUAAUUUCGAGGCUUGAAAAGCUAUUUCAAGAACGUUAGUGAGUGAGUCCUGGCGAGAGUUGGGUAGGCGGUCCGCCAAACCCUUAGGUACGCCCUAGAGGGAGGUGGGGUCGUCACAAUGGGGAAAUGGGAGAAACUGAUGGAGGGAGAGGAGGAAGAAAUCAGCAUCAAAAUUAGAAGGUUAAAGGAAAAUUGCAAAAGACAUUAGCAUCUAGAAGAAAGUUGUCUAAUAUCAACAUUAGCAAGAAUACUAGAUAACUUCAAUAACAGACUCAUUGAGUCCACUAUUCUCGAUUUUUCACAUUCAACAUUGAUUUGUUAAUCAUGAUCAGUUAGGGGAAACAAUCAAACACCUCUUAUGCUUUAAAACUCGAUACUUCAACUAUCAAAAGCAGAAUUAGAGACAAAGUCCAGCUUCGGACAAUAGAAAAUGGAGCAGAUCUGCAACUACUUUGUCUCAUGAAAAAUUAAACAAAAGCUCGGUGUUGUAUUAGUCUUUUUUCCUAGUUCUUAACUUCAUUGGAAUUCUAUGGAAUACUUCAACAUGAGGGCACGAGUUUCCCUUUAUCAUUUAGUUAUACUAUCAGGAAAACAAAACACAAAAAAGAAAAGAGAAGACAUAAAUAAAAAAAGGUAACCACGUAAUAGGUAAACUUAAAUGAUAAAAGAGAAACAAAAAACCUGAGAAAAACAACAUACCUUCAAUCAUUUAUCCUCCAUUUCUUGAAGACAUAAUAAUAGUGAUAACGAGAUUAAAAAAACAGACUUGAUAACAAAUCUCCCAAAACAAAAACAGCCACAGAGCACAAAAAAUUUGAAACAUAAGCCAUUGCACAUACCCACAAGGCUCAAUGCUGAAAAUGUUGCAUCUUUUUUCCUUCUUACUUUAUCCGACAUACACCUUGAAUUAGGAAAUGUUGACCAGAUCAAAUUUAUUAGUAAGACUUUGAAAAACUCCAAGGAAAAAAAAAACUCCAAAAUUAACUCAUUUUGAAGAAAAAAAACACACAGAAAGACUUCAAAAAUACUCUAAGGAAAAGAAAAAUAGAGGUUUCAUUUUUGGAUCGAAAAAAAAAUAGAGAGACCCUACAAGUCUUUACCUUGAGAAAAGAAUCUCCACGAUUCUUCGUGCUUGCUGAUAGUCUUGAUCUCUCAACCUGUAGCAAAUGCAUGAAACUUAAUAGAGAAUAAAAGAAAAUUUAAUCAAGGGGCAAAAAAAGCAUACACAAAAUUAAAAUGGAGAAAGCAACGGACUUGAGAGACAAACAAAAAACAAAAAAGAGAGAGAGAUGGAGAGAAGAAUAUUUGACUUAUGCUGAAAAAAGAAGAGAGGGGAAAAUGUGCAGAGGAAGAAGAUUGAUUGAUUGAGAAGAGGACAAAGGGGACAGGAGGACAUCUGGACACUGCAAUGGGUAGAGUUGGUGGAGUAGUUCCUGAUUUUUAAUGAAGACCUCAAGACUAGUGCAGUACCCAACU